CCGCGCCCCUAGAACGCUUUGCGUCCCGACGCCCGCAGGUCCUCGCGGUCCGCACCGUUUGCGACUUGGUACUUGGAAAAAUGGACAAGGCUUGUGAAAUGAAACACACCACACUGGACAGCCCUUUGGGGAAGCUGGAGCUGUCUGGUUGUGAGCAGGGUCUGCACGAAAUAAAGCUCCUGGGCAAGGGGACGUCUGCAGCUGAGCCCCUUCUGGUUCUCCCGUGCCUCGGUGUGAUCGUUAGGAGGAUGGAUCAUCCCGGUGCUAUCGGGAACGCACUGCGUUAAUGGCCUCAGUGCCCAGCAAUGGAGAACUUUCCACUGAGUAUCCGCACGCAGCGUGCCCGGCGGAAGGUGAAAGCUUCACCCUUUGUCUCCCUUGCCAUCCUUUGGCCUUGUGUGUUUGGAAGUAGCCAGAGGUGGUGGAACAGUGGUGGGCUGGUUUGGGUCUUGUUGGCAGUGCCAAAGGGACAAAGGCUGGAUGUGGGCACGACCUCAGCCUCGUGAUGGGCAAGACAGGUGGGGGUGACUUUCUGUUCUGAAAAUGACCCCCUCCCCUUCUUCCUCCCCUCAAGCUUCCUACCUUUCCU
RNAcentral lists this small RNA (589 nucleotides) under Pan troglodytes (chimpanzee). Its description in RNAcentral is "processed transcript". The record is from RNAcentral. Lineage: Eukaryota; Metazoa; Chordata; Mammalia; Primates; Hominidae.